RNAcentral lists this ribosomal RNA (752 nucleotides) under Salmonella enterica. Its description in RNAcentral is "partial 23S ribosomal RNA". It matches the Rfam family "Bacterial large subunit ribosomal RNA", at positions 2090 to 2836 of the family's 2925-position model. Lineage: Bacteria; Pseudomonadati; Pseudomonadota; Gammaproteobacteria; Enterobacterales; Enterobacteriaceae. The record is from RNAcentral.
CCCGUGAACCUUUACUAUAGCUUGACACUGAACAUUGAGCCUUGAUGUGUAGGAUAGGUGGGAGGCUUUGAAGUGUGGACGCCAGUCUGCAUGGAGCCGACCUUGAAAUACCACCCUUUAAUGUUUGAUGUUCUAACGUGGACCCGUGAUCCGGGUUGCGGACAGUGUCUGGUGGGUAGUUUGACUGGGGCGGUCUCCUCCUAAAGAGUAACGGAGGAGCACGAAGGUUGGCUAAUCCUGGUCGGACAUCAGGAGGUUAGUGCAAUGGCAUAAGCCAGCUUGACUGCGAGCGUGACGGCGCGAGCAGGUGCGAAAGCAGGUCAUAGUGAUCCGGUGGUUCUGAAUGGAAGGGCCAUCGCUCAACGGAUAAAAGGUACUCCGGGGAUAACAGGCUGAUACCGCCCAAGAGUUCAUAUCGACGGCGGUGUUUGGCACCUCGAUGUCGGCUCAUCACAUCCUGGGGCUGAAGUAGGUCCCAAGGGUAUGGCUGUUCGCCAUUUAAAGUGGUACGCGAGCUGGGUUUAGAACGUCGUGAGACAGUUCGGUCCCUAUCUGCCGUGGGCGCUGGAGAACUGAGGGGGGCUGCUCCUAGUACGAGAGGACCGGAGUGGACGCAUCACUGGUGUUCGGGUUGUCAUGCCAAUGGCACUGCCCGGUAGCUAAAUGCGGAAGAGAUAAGUGCUGAAAGCAUCUAAGCACGAAACUUGCCCCGAGAUGAGUUCUCCCUGAGACUUAGAGUCUCCUGAAGGAAC